Molecule: ribosomal RNA, 253 nt
Filed under: uncultured bacterium
Lineage: Bacteria
Description: partial 16S ribosomal RNA
Rfam family: Bacterial small subunit ribosomal RNA
Source: RNAcentral
UACGUAGGGGGCUAGCGUUGUCCGGAAUCAUUGGGCGUAAAGCGCGUGUAGGCGGUCCGGUAAGUCCGCUGUGAAAGUCGAGGGCUCAACCCUCGAAUGCCGGUGGAUACUGUCGGGCUAGAGUGUGGAAGAGGCGAGUGGAAUUCCUGGUGUAGCGGUGAAAUGCGCAGAUAUCAGGAGGAACACCUAUUGCGAAGGCAGCUCGCUGGGACGUUACUGACGCUGAGACGCGAAAGCGUGGGGAGCAAACAGG